CCUACGGGAGGCUGCAGUGGGGAAUAUUGGACAAUGGGGGGAACCCUGAUCCAGCCAUGCCGCGUGUGUGAAGAAGGCCCUCGGGUUGUAAAGCACUUUCAGUGAGGAAGAACGCCUGGUGGUUAAUACCCAUCAGGAAAGACAUCACUCACAGAAGAAGCACCGGCUAACUCCGUGCCAGCAGCCGCGGUAAUACGGAGGGUGCGAGCGUUAAUCGGAAUUACUGGGCGUAAAGCGCGCGUAGGUGGCUUGAUAAGCUGGUUGUGAAAGCCCCGGGCUCAACCUGGGAACGGCAUCCGGAACUGUCAAGCUAGAGUGCAGGAGAGGAAGGUAGAAUUCCCGGUGUAGCGGUGAAAUGCGUAGAGAUCGGGAGGAAUACCAGUGGCGAAGGCGGCCUUCUGGACUGACACUGACACUGAGGUGCGAAAGCGUGGGUAGCAAACAGGAUUAGAUACCCUUGUAGUC
This 465-nucleotide ribosomal RNA is filed under the name Vreelandella stevensii. RNAcentral's name for it is "partial 16S ribosomal RNA". It matches the Rfam family "Bacterial small subunit ribosomal RNA", at positions 338 to 795 of the family's 1533-position model. The record is from RNAcentral. Lineage: Bacteria; Pseudomonadati; Pseudomonadota; Gammaproteobacteria; Oceanospirillales; Halomonadaceae.